UGUCAAGGGUACCUCUAGAUGCAUCUGUC
Molecule: non-coding RNA, 29 nt
Filed under: Mus musculus (house mouse)
Lineage: Eukaryota; Metazoa; Chordata; Mammalia; Rodentia; Muridae
Source: RNAcentral